GAUGAACGCUAGCGGCAGGCUUAACACAUGCAAGUCGAGGGGCAGCAUAAGUACUUGUACUUGAUGGCGACCGGCGGACGGGUGAGUAACGCGUAUGGAAUCUACCUUUUACAGGGGGAUAGCCCAGAGAAAUUUGGAUUAAUACCUCAUAGUAUAUAUUUACGGCAUCGUAAAUAUAUUAAAGAUUUAUCGGUAAAAGAUGGCCAUGCGUUCUAUUAGCUAGAUGGUAAGGUAACGGCUUACCAUGGCUACGAUAGAUAGGGGCCCUGAGAGGGGGAUCCCCCACACUGGUACUGAGACACGGACCAGACUCCUACGGGAGGCAGCAGUGAGGAAUAUUGGACAAUGGGCGAGAGCCUGAUCCAGCCAUGCCGCGUGCAGGAAGACUGCCCUAUGGGUUGUAAACUGCUUUUAUACAGGAAGAAACCUCCCGACGUGUCGGGACUUGACGGUACUGUAAGAAUAAGGAUCGGCUAACUCCGUGCCAGCAGCCGCGGUAAUACGGAGGAUCCAAGCGUUAUCCGGAAUCAUUGGGUUUAAAGGGUCCGUAGGUGGAUAAUUAAGUCAGGGGUGAAAGCUUAUAGCUCAACUAUAAAAUUGCCUUUGAUACUGGUUAUCUUGAAUCAUUAUGAAGUAGUUAGAAUAUGUGGUGUAGCGGUGAAAUGCAUAGAUAUCACAUAGAAUACCAAUUGCGAAGGCAGAUUACUAAUAAUGUAUUGACACUGAUGGACGAAAGCGUGGGGAGCGAACAGG
This 753-nucleotide ribosomal RNA is filed under the name uncultured bacterium. RNAcentral's name for it is "bacterial SSU rRNA". It matches the Rfam family "Bacterial small subunit ribosomal RNA", at positions 28 to 776 of the family's 1533-position model. The record is from RNAcentral.